This is a long non-coding RNA of Lineus longissimus, 2620 nucleotides long. RefSeq lists it as uncharacterized. The record is from RefSeq and is a predicted model, not a curated record. The transcript has 8 exons. NCBI's taxonomy places the organism in Eukaryota, Metazoa, Nemertea, Pilidiophora, Heteronemertea, Lineidae.
ACUACCUGUCACAUUUUAUGCCUUCCAAUGCUUGCUUUGGCUUCGAGUGUGUCGUGCAGGCUGAACAUUCAUUGCAGCAAGGUGCACAUGGUUUUGCUCGAAUUUUGACUUUUUUCAACAUCCGAAAUAGCAAAAUUACUUGUGUUUAGCACAAAUCUUCUACAAGAUGAAGCAUACCUUGUCCGCAAUUGCAACGAAAGAUUCUCGCUGGUAUGGUUUGCAAGGUGAAGGGUUACAUGUCGAUGCCACAAACCUUGUCCGCAAUUGCAACCGAAGAUUUUUGGAUGAACCGCAAGAUGAUUUGAUGAAGGCUUUCAGUUGUCCAGGCCAGGCCAGGUGACCAAUGACAAUGAUAGAUCGGGUUCGAUUCAAGCUAUACGCUUGGUGUAUUUGGUUAUCGUGACUGGCGACUUGAGUCUAUCUCAUCUCAUGUCCAAAGCGCGGUGGCUGGGUCCCAGGCAUGCUUGCCACUUUGUUCCACGGUCCUCAUCUAAGUUUCGACGGUGAUGACAUGGACUUAGGUUCAAAGUACGUGUUCCCCUUGAGUCAUUGUGGUUGAUUGAUGGGGGCAAUAAACGGUUGCGUGUCGCUAGUCAUUCAAUUGGUCCCCUUGUUUUAGAGUGUUGGCGGGAUAAGUCUUACGACUGUUGACAAUAGUAAGCAAUAGCUGGCCAGCGAUCCCCUACCUGAUCUCGAGGGGGAUGGAAUGACUGGGGUUGAGACCUGUUGUUAGCCUGCGGAAUUUCGUCGGACGAAAUGUCAGGCGUGUCCGUGUGGUACUUGUGCUAAACCAGUUUAGUACUAUUGACGAAGACAUUGGGCUCUUUGGAUAACAACAGUGUUCUUAACCUCCUUGUGCCUCACAAAGCUAAUAAUAUACACCCCCUGAAAUCGACAAGACGGCGAUGAAGAAGGAGAGCCGGCCUCCAACUCGUCAGCCGAGAAGACACUGGAUGGACCGCAAGAAUAUGUUGCUGCCAAUGUUGGAGCCAUACAGGGCAGCCCAAUCCAACAUUGUACAAGGGCCACAAGGUCCAGGGCCACAAGGACAAGGGACACAAGGACGAGGGACACAAGGACAAGGGACACAAAAGACGUUGUUGCAGUCUACAGGAUUGAGAUGAUGGCUGUCGAGAAGAUCCAACCACUUCACCAAGAUCUACAAUUCGUGCUAUGGUAGAUGUGACUCUCAAAGAUUUUGGAUGACGAAGGAAUCCAAAGCAUAUAUGUCGCUCACAGAUACAGGCAGACAAUUGAGAUUCGAGUGGAUUCAGUGGAUCGAAUGGUUGCGCUGAGGAAUAUCCAUGUGCAGGAGUGACGAACCACAGUUCAGCAAACGAUGCCUUGACAGACCAAUUCAAGGAGAACUUUCGCUAAGAUCACGAAGGGAACGUGUUUGCUGUGUGGAUCGAUUGGACACCUAAAUGUCCGUCAUUCUAAUAGACCAUACUGACAAUCUUCUAAUGGACUAUAAUGACAAUCCAACUCCAAAGGGACUCUCUGGACUGAGGGAAAGCUACGGACAUAGGGCCCCGACAUGAUAUCCUGCAGCCACCAUGAGGACGGCCUAUCUCAUACCUUCGGAAGGAUGCCAUCACGCGCAUGAUGAGCCAUCCCACAGAAGGGAGAAGGAUGUUGUUGACCCAGCACAUCCCAACCAUGCUCCCAUCGCCGUCAAGUAACAGUACGACGGUUAGAUUGUAUAUUGUCACCGUAGGCUUUAUUGUUUUCAAUUUUCUUAUUGUUUUUUAAAAUAUCUGAUCGAAAGGUGAUUUAAUGAAAAUUCAAAUUUUUCUGAUGGUGAAAGGGCAAAUAUUUACCUUGCUUAUGACAAGCGUAGAUUAUUUUAAUCUAUGUUUGGUUGUGACCAUGACUUGUGCCAUGGAUCAAAAUCUUACACUUUUCAAAGAAGGUAUUGAAAUUAUGGGGGGGUUGGGUUGUUUCUGGCUAACAAGGGAGCCAAUGAUAAGGCACACCAGAACCUAAACAAAAUAAUUUUCAAGCUAAAUUUUGUGCUUAAGAUAUUAAAGAAGAAACAACAAUUUGGGGGGGGAUUGGUUGUUUGUGGUUACCAGAGAAGCCAACAGCCGCCUUGGGCAUAUGAGGACCCUGAAAUUCUUUUCAGGGAAAAGUUAUUUCCUGCUUAAAAAUCACCGAAUUCAUCAGAUAUUUAUUUAAUUACUGGUAUAUCCAUCACUUUAGACAUGGGGUCCAUGUGUUGUUGUUUCGCUGACCCCACGAAACAAGAACACAUGUGUCUGAUGGAACUGUAGGCCUUUCAUACUGUUUCUCAAUCUCAUCAGUACCACAUAAUCAACUGACAUAACCUGGGCUCCGAUGCCCCGGACCUUACAUUACACUGGCUGGCUCAGUUGCUCAAUACAUGUACCUUCAUGCUCGAGACAAAUGACCAACAGUGAUAUGUUGAAUUUGAAUUUCCUCCUUUUUGAAAUGCCAAAAUAUCUUUCAAGUUGAACUAAAACAGUUCGAUAAUCUCUCACUGUUUUAUUGAAAAUUUAAAGACUGAUCCUUCCUAGUGGUCACACAGUGAGCCGUUCUCAAAGCGUGUCAUUAGACAAUGGUGUCAUGCAUGCAUGUUUUGUUACGGCUUACCAGGGAC